Molecule: ribosomal RNA, 244 nt
Filed under: uncultured bacterium
Lineage: Bacteria
Description: partial 16S ribosomal RNA
Rfam family: Bacterial small subunit ribosomal RNA
Source: RNAcentral
UGGCGACCGGCGCACGGGUGAGUAACACGUAUCCAACCUGCCGAUGACUCGGGGAUAGCCUUUCGAAAGAAAGAUUAAUACCCGAUGGCAUAGUUCUUCCGCAUGGUAGAACUAUUAAAGGAUUUCGGUCAUCGAUGGGGAUGCGUUCCAUUAGGUAGUUGGUGGGGUAACGGCCUACCAAGCCGACGAUCAGUAGCCGACCUGAGAGGGUGACCGGCCACAUUGGGACUGAGACACGGCCCAA